RNAcentral lists this long non-coding RNA (216 nucleotides) under Musa acuminata (dwarf banana). RNAcentral's name for it is "long non-coding RNA (MACU_LNC008004)". The record is from RNAcentral. Lineage: Eukaryota; Viridiplantae; Streptophyta; Magnoliopsida; Zingiberales; Musaceae.
GCCUUUGUUGAUUUUCUCCUCGUCUUCGGAGGAGCUUGAUUCAUCCCAAUUUUUGUUCUUCUUCUUGUGUUCAAAGCAAGUAGUUCCGUUCUUUUUAGUUUUUAAUUUUUGUUUCAUUUGUAGUUUAAGUUCACCAUCACUUGAGCUUAUGCUCGAGUGGUCUUCAAAUGUUCUAUGUCCCAAAUCCUUCCUGUUCUUUGGAAGGUGGUUCUCAAG